Molecule: ribosomal RNA, 1088 nt
Filed under: Bacillus sp. OTB82
Lineage: Bacteria; Bacillati; Bacillota; Bacilli; Caryophanales; Bacillaceae
Description: bacterial SSU rRNA
Rfam family: Bacterial small subunit ribosomal RNA
Source: RNAcentral
AUGGACGAAAGUCUGACGGAGCAACGCCGCGUGAGUGAUGAAGGUUUUCGGAUCGUAAAACUCUGUUGUCAGGGAAGAACAAGUGCCGGAGUAACUGCCGGCGCCUUGACGGUACCUGACCAGAAAGCCACGGCUAACUACGUGCCAGCAGCCGCGGUAAUACGUAGGUGGCAAGCGUUGUCCGGAAUUAUUGGGCGUAAAGCGCGCGCAGGCGGUUUCUUAAGUCUGAUGUGAAAGCCCCCGGCUCAACCGGGGAGGGUCAUUGGAAACUGGGAAACUUGAGUGCAGAAGAGGAGAGUGGAAUUCCACGUGUAGCGGUGAAAUGCGUAGAGAUGUGGAGGAACACCAGUGGCGAAGGCGACUCUCUGGUCUGUAACUGACGCUGAGGCGCGAAAGCGUGGGGAGCGAACAGGAUUAGAUACCCUGGUAGUCCACGCCGUAAACGAUGAGUGCUAAGUGUUAGAGGGUUUCCGCCCUUUAGUGCUGCAGCUAACGCAUUAAGCACUCCGCCUGGGGAGUACGGUCGCAAGACUGAAACUCAAAGGAAUUGACGGGGGCCCGCACAAGCGGUGGAGCAUGUGGUUUAAUUCGAAGCAACGCGAAGAACCUUACCAGGUCUUGACAUCCUUUGCCACUUCUAGAGAUAGAAGGUUCCCCUUCGGGGGACAAAGUGACAGGUGGUGCAUGGUUGUCGUCAGCUCGUGUCGUGAGAUGUUGGGUUAAGUCCCGCAACGAGCGCAACCCUUGAUCUUAGUUGCCAGCAUUCAGUUGGGCACUCUAAGGUGACUGCCGGUGACAAACCGGAGGAAGGUGGGGAUGACGUCAAAUCAUCAUGCCCCUUAUGACCUGGGCUACACACGUGCUACAAUGGAUGGUACAAAGGGCUGCGAGACCGCGAGGUUUAGCCAAUCCCAUAAAACCAUUCUCAGUUCGGAUUGCAGGCUGCAACUCGCCUGCAUGAAGCUGGAAUCGCUAGUAAUCGCGGAUCAGCAUGCCGCGGUGAAUACGUUCCCGGGCCUUGUACACACCGCCCGUCACACCACGAGAGUUUGCAACACCCGAAGUCGGUGGGGUAACCGCAAGGAGCC